Molecule: long non-coding RNA, 609 nt
Organism: Oryza sativa Japonica Group (Japanese rice)
Lineage: Eukaryota; Viridiplantae; Streptophyta; Magnoliopsida; Poales; Poaceae
Source: RefSeq, a predicted model, not a curated record
ACUUUGUUUUCUACCUUUCAUUGUCAUUCUUUCCCAUAAAGCGCACCACACUAGCCUCUUUAAAAUGCCACCGUGCAAGUUCUUGGCUCUCUCACUAGUCCCCUAGCUUUUGCCUCAUCAACAGCUGAGCAUUUGCAACUUCAAUCAGAUCAUGGUGGGUGCAUGGCAGGAGCAUCUUCAUGGUUCUUGAGAUCGGGAGCAGCAUAAGCAGUAUGAGGAUGGAGAAGAAUGGCUGUGCUGUUCCUUCUCCUCCUCCUUCUCAAGAACUCUUCAGUUUGUCCAUGCCUUUCAUGGCAUAAUUCCCUGGAUUCCAGAAUCUCUGGGUGGCUUAGGGAGGUAUGAACAAACCGGCAAGUCAUAAAUCGGCAAUAGUGAGCUCCGACUGGAUCUUACUCCUCAGUUUAUCAAAUUUAGUUUCAUUCCCUUGUAACCUUAUUCCAGUUGUUUCAACUUUCUAUUGUUCCCCCUUACAAAGGUCAUUGCAAUUGUAUCUUGUGGAAGCAGAUAAGAAGUUGUCUCGGUGUAAUCUUGUUUUGUGGAGUCAAAUGUUUGCUUGUGUGUUGCUUGGGAAUAUUUUAUCCGAGAUGCUCAUAUUUACCUUGAAAGAUA